Molecule: ribosomal RNA, 2459 nt
Filed under: fermentation metagenome
Description: bacterial LSU rRNA
Rfam family: Bacterial large subunit ribosomal RNA
Source: RNAcentral
UCAAGCUAUAAAGAGCACAGGGCGGAUGCCUUGGCACUGGGAGCCGAUGAAGGACGCGACAAGCUGCGAAAAGCCGCGGGGAGGCGCACAUAGCCUACGAUCCGCGGAUGUCCGAACGGGGAAACCCGCCCGGGGUGAAUGCCCGGGCACGCUUAAGCCGAAUAAAAUAGGUUUAGGCGGGGGAGACGCGGGGAACUGAAACAUCUAAGUACCCGCAGGAAAAGAAAACAAAAGUGAUUCCGCAAGUAGUGGCGAGCGAACGCGGAGAAGCCCAAACCGGGCGCCCUACGGGGAGUCCGGGGUAGAGGACCGGCACAAAGACGAUUUGGAACGAGCGGAAAGCGGGAUGGAAAGCCCGUGCCGCAGAGGGUAAGAGCCCCGUAAGCGAAGUUCCGAAGAGUCCGGCCGUGAUCCGGAGUACCACGAGGCACGGGAAAUCUCGUGGGAAGCAGGGUGGACCACCAUCCAAGGCUGAAUACUAACCGGUGACCGAUAGUGAAGCAGUACCGUGAGGGAAAGGUGAAAAGAACCCCGUGAGGGGAGUGAAAAAGAACCUGAAACCCUGUGUUUACAAGCAGUCGAAGGGCGUUAAAGCCCGACGGCGUACUUUUUGUAGAACGGUCCGGCGAGUUGCGAUACACGGCGAGGUUAAGCGCUAUACAAGGCGCGGAGCCGCAGCGAAAGCGAGUCUGAAGAGGGCGUUACAGUCGUGUGUUGCAGACCCGAAACCGAGUGACCUACCCGUGGACAGGUUGAAGCGGAAGUAAAAUUCCGUGGAGGACCGAACCCACCGAUGUUGAAAAAUCGGGGGAUGAGCUGCGGGUAGCGGAGAAAUUCCAAUCGAACUCGGAUAUAGCUGGUUCUCCCCGAAAUAGCUUUAGGGCUAGCCUCGGAUCGAGUCCUGCGGAGGUAAAGCACUGAAUGGGCUAGGGGUCUUACCGGAUUACCGAACCCUAUCAAACUCAGAAUGCCGCAAGGAUGAUGACCGGGAGUCAGACCGCGGGAGAGAAGUUCCGCGGUCGAGAGGGAAACAGCCCAGACCGCCGGCUAAGGUCCCAAAAUCACGGUUAAGUGGAAAAGGAUGUGGGCACGCUAAGACAGCUAGGACGUUGGCUUAGAAGCAGCCAUUCAUUCAAAGAGUGCGUAACAGCUCACUAGUCGAGUGGGCCUGCGCCGAAGAUUAACGGGGCUAAACCGUGUACCGAAGCCGCGGAAUCCGUACAUGAGUACGGAUUGGUAGGGGAGCGUACCGUGAGGGAGAAGCAUGACCGGAAGGACAUGCGGACGAAACGGUAGUGAGAAUGCCGGAAUGAGUAGCGAGAGCGCGGUGAGAAUCCGCGCCGUCGAAAACCCGAGGUUUCCCGGGGAAGGUUCGUCCUCCCGGGGUAAGUCGGGGCCUAAGCCGAGGCCGCAAGGCGUAGGCGAUGGACAACAGGUUGAAAUUCCUGUACUGCCGAUGGGCGUAUGAGGGAAGCGGGGACGCAGAUGGAAAAUCCGACCGGGCCGCAGGAAGGUCCGGCCAAGGAUGUAAGGCCGCCGGGAGGCAAAUCCCCCGGCACACGGCCGAAAUCCAAUGGGUAGGGAAAAUACAAGUACCGAAGCGGAGUAUUCCACGCUGACGAGAAAAGCCGCUACCGAGCACAUCGGCACCCGUACCGCAAACCGACACAGGUGGGUGGGGAGAGAAUCCCGAGACGAGCGGGAGAAGCAUUGUCAAGGAACUCGGCAAAUUGACCCCGUAAGUUCGCGAUAAGGGGUGCCGGCUUUUGGCCGGCCGCAGUGAAAAGGCCCAAGCAACUGUUUAGCAAAAACACAGGUCUCUGCGAAAUCGAAAGAUGAAGUAUAGGGGCUGACGCCUGCCCGGUGCCGGAAGGUCACAGGGAUCCGUAAGCGUAAGCGAAGCGGUGAACUCAAGCCCCGGUAAACGGCGGCCGUAACUAUAACGGUCCUAAGGUAGCGAAAUUCCACGAAAGGCGUAAUGAUUUGGGCACUGUCUCGACAAUGCACCCGGUGAAAUUGUAGUACUCGUGAAGAUGCGAGUUACCCGCGACAAGACGGAAAGACCCCAUGGAGCUUUACUGCAGCCUGGUAUUGGGUCUUGGUAUUUUCUGUACAGGAUAGGUGGGAGGCUGUGAAGCGCGUACGCCAGUAUGCGUGGAGCCGUCCUUUGGAUACCACCCUGAAAAUGCCGGGACUCUAACCGCGGGCCGUUAACCGGUCCCGGGACAAUGACAGGCGGGCAGUUUGACUGGGGCGGUCGCCUCCAAAAGAGUAACGGAGGCGCUCAAAGGUUGGCUCAGCACGGACGGAAAUCGUGCAAAGAGUGUAAACGCAAAAGCCAGCCUAACUGUGAGACCAACAAGUCGAACAGUAACGAAAGUUGGAGUUAGUGAUCAGGCGGUAUGUGAGUGGAAAUGCCGUCGCUUAACGGAUAAAAGCUACCCUGGGGAUAACAGGCU